This 254-nucleotide ribosomal RNA is filed under the name uncultured bacterium. RNAcentral describes it as "partial 16S ribosomal RNA". It matches the Rfam family "Bacterial small subunit ribosomal RNA", at positions 28 to 292 of the family's 1533-position model. The record is from RNAcentral.
GACGAACGCUGGCGGCGUGCUUAACACAUGCAAGUCACGGGGGCCCGCGAGGGCAACCGGCGAACGGGUGCGUAACACGUGAGCGACCUGCCUUUCCGCGGGGGAUAGCCGGCCCAACGGCCGGGUAAUACCGCAUACGCUGCUUUGGGGGCGAUCCCUGAAGUAGGAAACCUCCGGGGCGGAGAGAGGGGCUCGCGACCUAUCAGCUAGUUGGCGAGGUAACGGCUCACCAAGGCGGCGACGGGUAGCUGGUC